RNAcentral lists this ribosomal RNA (429 nucleotides) under bacterium. Its description in RNAcentral is "partial 16S ribosomal RNA". It matches the Rfam family "Bacterial small subunit ribosomal RNA", at positions 355 to 776 of the family's 1533-position model. The record is from RNAcentral.
UAGGGAAUCUUCGGCAAUGGGGGCAACCCUGACCGAGCAACGCCGCGUGAGUGAAGAAGGUUUUCGGAUCGUAAAGCUCUGUUGUAAGAGAAGAACGUGUGUGAGAGUGGAAAGUUCACACAGUGACGGUAACUUACCAGAAAGGGACGGCUAACUACGUGCCAGCAGCCGCGGUAAUACGUAGGUCCCGAGCGUUGUCCGGAUUUAUUGGGCGUAAAGCGAGCGCAGGCGGUUUAAUAAGUCUGAAGUUAAAGGCAGUGGCUUAACCAUUGUUCGCUUUGGAAACUGUUAAACUUGAGUGCAGAAGGGGAGAGUGGAAUUCCAUGUGUAGCGGUGAAAUGCGUAGAUAUAUGGAGGAACACCGGUGGCGAAAGCGGCUCUCUGGGCUGUAACUGACGCUGAGGCUCGAAAGCGUGGGGAGCAAACAGG